GAGGUUCAUUGCUUAGGACAUUUGCAAUUUUAUUUCACUUGGUAGAUAUUAUAGGUCACGUGAGGUUUUAGGUAAACUUUAUGUCUUUUAAUUUUCUUUUAUUUUAAAUUAGUUAGAAUUGUAGGUUGACUUGUUUUUAAUUUCUUUAAUUUUGUUUUGUAUUUAAAUUAAUUUGAUUGUGUUUAGAUAUUUGUUUAGUCUAGUAUUGGGUUUAGCAUUUUCACUCUCUUUAAUGCUUUCUAUGAUGAUCGGAUGUGUUUAACUUUUAUUUUUGAAUUUCGUUUUUUAAUUCGCAAACCUUUUCAAACCCCCCCCUCCUUUUUUUGUGUUAGACUUGACUCUGAACCGUAGUUGGUCCUUGAGAGACGACCUAGGGGUCAUUCCCUAGCAUUAUACUGCAUUUCUAAAUUGCAAUCAAAUUUGUAUGGGCUGC
Molecule: long non-coding RNA, 433 nt
Filed under: Vigna radiata
Lineage: Eukaryota; Viridiplantae; Streptophyta; Magnoliopsida; Fabales; Fabaceae
Description: long non-coding RNA (VRAD_LNC006771)
Source: RNAcentral